UUGGUGGGGUAAAGGCCUACCAAGACUAUGAUGUGUAGCCGGGCUGAGAGGUUGAACGGCCACAUUGGGACUGAGACACGGCCCAAACUCCUACGGGAGGCAGCAGUAGGGAAUUUUCGGCAAUGGAGGAAACUCUGACCGAGCAACGCCGCGUGAACGAUGAAGUAUUUCGGUACGUAAAGUUCUUUUAUUAGGGAAGAAUAAAUGAUGGAAAAAUCAUUCUGACGGUACCUAAUGAAUAAGCCCCGGCUAACUAUGUGCCAGCAGCCGCGGUAAUACAUAGGGGGCAAGCGUUAUCCGGAAUUAUUGGGCGUAAAGGGUGCGUAGGCGGUUAAAUAAGUUUAUGGUCUAAGUGCAAUGCUCAACAUUGUGAUGCUAUAAAAACUGUUUAGCUAGAGUAAGAUAGAGGCAAGUGGAAUUCCAUGUGUAGUGGUAAAAUGCGUAAAUAUAUGGAGGAACACCAGUAGCGAAGGCGGCUUGCUGGGUCUUUACUGACGCUGAGGCACGAAAGCGUGGGGAGCAAACAGGAUUAGAUACCCUGGUAGUCCACGCCGUAAACGAUGAGUACUAAACGUUGGGUAAAACCAGUGUUGAAGUUAACACAUUAAGUACUCCGCCUGAGUAGUACGUACGCAAGUAUGAAACUUAAAGGAAUUGACGGGACUCCGCACAAGCGGUGGAUCAUGUUGUUUAAUUCGAAGGUACCCGAAAAACCUCACCAGGUCUUGACAUGCUUCUGCAAAGCUGUA
RNAcentral lists this ribosomal RNA (749 nucleotides) under Lilium sp. phytoplasma NE311. RNAcentral describes it as "bacterial SSU rRNA". It matches the Rfam family "Bacterial small subunit ribosomal RNA", at positions 249 to 1004 of the family's 1533-position model. The record is from RNAcentral. Lineage: Bacteria; Bacillati; Mycoplasmatota; Mollicutes; Acholeplasmatales; Acholeplasmataceae.